This 512-nucleotide ribosomal RNA is filed under the name uncultured bacterium. RNAcentral's name for it is "partial 16S ribosomal RNA". It matches the Rfam family "Bacterial small subunit ribosomal RNA", at positions 36 to 507 of the family's 1533-position model. The record is from RNAcentral.
UCUUCCCUCUGGCGGCGUGCCUAAUACAUGCAAGUCGAACGAAACUUCUUUAUCACCGAGUGCUUGCACUCACCGAUAAAGAGUUGAGUGGCGAACGGGUGAGUAACACGUGGGCAACCUGCCCAAAAGAGGGGGAUAACACUUGGAAACAGGUGCUAAUACCGCAUAACCAUAGUUACCGCAUGGUAACUAUGUAAAAGGUGGCUAUACUACCGCUUUUGGAUGGGCCCGCGGCGCAUUAGCUAGUUGGUAGGGUAAAGGCUUACCAAGGCAAUGAUGCGUAGCCGAAUUGAGAGGUUGAUCGGCCACAUUGGGACUGAGACACGGCCCAAACUCCUACGGGAGGCAGCAGUAGGGAAUCUUCCACAAUGGGCGAAAGCCUGAUGGAGCAACGCCGCGUGGGUGAAGAAGGUCUUCGGAUCGUAAAACCCUGUUGUUAGAGAAGAAAGUGCGUGAGAGUAACUGUUCACGUUUCGACGGUAUCUAACCAGAAAGCCACGGCUAACUACGUG